AGUGAACGCUGGCGGCAGGCCUAAUACAUGCAAGUCGAACGGCAGCACAGCAGAGCUUGCUCUGUGGGUGGCGAGUGGCGGACGGGUGAGGAAUACAUGGGAAUCUGCCCAGUCGUGGGGGAUAACGUAUGGAAACGUACGCUAAUACCGCAUGCGCCCUACGGGGGAAAGCCGGGGACCGCAAGGCCUGGCGCGAUUGGAUGAGCCCAUGUUCGAUUAGCUAGUUGGCGGGGUAAAGGCCCACCAAGGCGACGAUCGAUAGCUGGUCUGAGAGGAUGAUCAGCCACACUGGAACUGAGACACGGUCCAGACUCCUACGGGAGGCAGCAGUAGGGAAUAUUGGACAAUGGGGGCAACCCUGAUCCAGCCAUGCCGCGUGAGUGAAGAAGGCCCUCGGGUUGUAAAGCUCUUUUGUCCGGAAAGAAAGCAAUCGGUUAAUACCCGGUUGUUCUGACGGUACCGGAAGAAUAAGCACCGGCUAACUUC
This 486-nucleotide ribosomal RNA is filed under the name uncultured bacterium. RNAcentral describes it as "bacterial SSU rRNA". It matches the Rfam family "Bacterial small subunit ribosomal RNA", at positions 29 to 504 of the family's 1533-position model. The record is from RNAcentral.